This 61-nucleotide transfer RNA is filed under the name Erpobdella sp. JP-2021. RNAcentral's name for it is "tRNA-Tyr". The record is from RNAcentral. Lineage: Eukaryota; Metazoa; Annelida; Clitellata; Hirudinida; Erpobdellidae.
AACAAGAUAGUUUAAAAAAAAACAGUAAACUGUAAAUUUAUUAAUGGAUUCCCUCUUGUAU